GCUGCUUUGGUGUAAUGGCUAGCAUUCGAGCCUUCCAAGCUCGAGAUCGGGGUUCAAUUCCCCGGAGCUGCA
RNAcentral lists this transfer RNA (72 nucleotides) under Annulohypoxylon moriforme. Its description in RNAcentral is "tRNA-Gly". It matches the Rfam family "tRNA". Rfam says of the family: Transfer RNA (tRNA) molecules are approximately 80 nucleotides in length. Their secondary structure includes four short double-helical elements and three loops (D, anti-codon, and T loops). The record is from RNAcentral. Lineage: Eukaryota; Fungi; Ascomycota; Sordariomycetes; Xylariales; Hypoxylaceae.